Molecule: long non-coding RNA, 2006 nt
Organism: Folsomia candida
Lineage: Eukaryota; Metazoa; Arthropoda; Collembola; Entomobryomorpha; Isotomidae
Exons: 5
Source: RefSeq, a predicted model, not a curated record
CCUUCUGGAUAAUAAAUCAACGCCGGAAAUAGGCAGCCAUUUAUGUUUUGUGUCCUUGCUCUUGUUAUUACGUAAAAUAACUUAUUUCCCACUUGAAAAUGUGAAGCUAUAAAAUACAAGUUAAGAUAAAAUGGGGGGUGGGGAGUUUGAGGUGGGGGCGGUUAAGUGUGGUGUGUAGCAGUGAAGAAAGCAGGUUUAUACUAGUUAUUUUUGAUUGUUGUUAAGCAAGAUUGUCAACUGCGAUGGACCGUAUUAUGUAGAAUUGGGCGUUUCAAAGAAUUUAGCCAGCUUCUCAACAAACGAGUGAACUUGGAAUAACUCGGAUUUGGAAAUUAAUAAAAAUUCGAGAGCAACAAAAUUUUCCUGAGAAAUUACCACGUGUAAUUCACCCGUUCCUUGGGUUCUAGUCGGAGUGGCGAUUAAUUAUAUUUAUUCAAGUGGGAGAUAUAUAUUACGAUUGAAAUUUGUAACGGAAAAAGACAUUUUUACGCGGACUACGCAUUAAUCAAAGAUCUUGACGACGAAACAGGACAACAUUCAGGGGAAAAUCGUUCGUAUUAAUUUGAUAAUAUGUAUGAAAUAUUUAGUUUUAAUUAGGUUAAAGAAGUAAUUAGCAUUUGGCCUCACUUUAACUACAUAUAUUUGCAUAUUCUACUUUCCAUUAAACGAAACCAAACCCUUAACUCAAUGAUACACAUUUACAUAUGUACCACACCAUGAAACAUAAAAGCAUGAAUUACUUAGAAAUUUUGGGAACGUCUUGUGUUGGUGCAGAGCUUAUAAACAUAUUGGAUAACUGAAUUCUAUUCAAACGCGGGGUUAACAAAUUCUGAGAAACAUUUUAAGCUUUUUCAGGAAUUUUGCAGCCAUUAUUUUACGAGAUUUGCGACCUUUCUUAAUUCUUCUGUAGGCAUUUCUAUGCCCUACUGCCAUUUAAAAUGGAGCUUAUUUAAACAUUUUUAUAUCAAAAUUUCCUCUGAACAUUCGUGCCUAAAUUUUUGCAAUGCAAAAGAUUACGCUCAUAAUAAUAUUAUUUAAGUGUGCAUGCAAUCUAUUUACAUAGUUUUCCAGCAGCGAGUUUGUUUUACUCUACAUUCUUUUUCCAAGUUUCGCAUCUUAUGUUCGGAUCGUGACUAAAUCUAAUCAUUUAGAGUUUAAAUUGGGCUUCUUACUUUGAAUAAAAGGGAAGCGCUGCAUAUAAAUUUCAUGCAUACUGUAACAUGCAAGAAAUUUAUUGGGGAAUAACCUCAAUCGAGGUCACAAUGCGGCAAUUUUUGUUGCACCCAUGUUGCACCCUAACUUUUCGAAAAUUGAAAUUGACAGGAUUUUCAUUAGCUUGAAAAGCAAUGAACAGUUUGAAAAGUUGGGCAGAUUCAGAUAGUCGCAACAGCAUUAUAUUUACAGGAUAAAUUGGAAGUUGGGCAGAAACAGGAAACUUUACGAUAUAUUUAGUUUACCAAUCACUUAUGCAGAAUAUCCUUUGGUUCAACCUUCCAUACACUUAUCAUUGACAAGAUUUUGCACCUUUCUUAUUUUGCAUGAUUGAGGUCUCCCACAAGACAGGUUAGGAUGUGGGGUCCACAGAGUAGCACACCUUGGAGGUCACUGCCAAAUUCUCAAGGUAUCAUAACGAUUUUUCAAAACCGUAAGAAUACGACCUGGUAGAAUCCACGGUCAGUGAAAAAUGGACGCACGUAAAGCAGUCUGUAAUUUUAAAACAUAGAAUUAUUCUCAUUUUGCAGAACACAAUAUUAAAGUACUACUGUGUACAAAGUCGUACUUUUCACAACUAAAAGAUUAACACACCCAGAAAUCGAUUUUUCAAAGAGUUUUGAUGACCAGAAAAUGCUGGUUCUCUUCACAUUCUUGACGUGAUGCUUAUUCUUGAGCCUCAUAAUCUUAGUCGGUUCGUGGUUGAUGGUCCAUACGGCGGACUUCGCCAUUACACAAAGAAAUUGCACACAUUUUUAUUGUUAGUUUUUCAUUCUUUACAAACAUAUGUAAAA